AUGGUCCUCAAACUUGACUUCGCCAAGGCGUUCGACUCUAUCAACUGGGCGAGCUUGCGCGCUGUGAUGGCGGCCAGGGGGUUCCCGUCGCUCUGGUGCGACUGGAUGGAUGCCCUCUUCCACUCCUCGAGCUCGGCGGUCUUGUUGAACGGGGUGCCAGGGCGAUGGUUCCGAGUGCGCUGCGGCCUCAGGCAGGGGACCCCAUCUCCCCCUACCUCUUCCUCAUCGUCGCCGACGUGCUCCAACGGCUGA
RNAcentral lists this ribosomal RNA (252 nucleotides) under Triticum aestivum (bread wheat). Its description in RNAcentral is "partial small subunit ribosomal RNA". Lineage: Eukaryota; Viridiplantae; Streptophyta; Magnoliopsida; Poales; Poaceae. The record is from RNAcentral.